RNAcentral lists this transfer RNA (83 nucleotides) under Calditrichota bacterium. RNAcentral describes it as "Calditrichaeota bacterium (activated sludge metagenome) tRNA-Leu". It matches the Rfam family "tRNA". From Rfam's summary of the family: Transfer RNA (tRNA) molecules are approximately 80 nucleotides in length. Their secondary structure includes four short double-helical elements and three loops (D, anti-codon, and T loops). RNAcentral also lists the same sequence under 1 other name. The record is from RNAcentral. Lineage: Bacteria; Pseudomonadati; Calditrichota.
GCGAGGAUGGCGGAAUUGGUAGACGCGCUAGACUUAGGAUCUAGUGUCCCAGCGGCGUGGGAGUUCGAGUCUCCCUCCUCGUA